AUUGAACGCUGGCGGCAGGCCUAACACAUGCAAGUCGAACGGUAACAGGGAUCAGCUUGCUGAUUCGCUGACGAGUGGCGGACGGGUGAGUAAUGUCUGGGAAACUGCCUGAUGGAGGGGGAUAACUACUGGAAACGGUAGCUAAUACCGCAUAACGUCGCAAGACCAAAGAGGGGGACCUUCGGGCCUCUUGCCAUCGGAUGUGCCCAGAUGGGAUUAGCUAGUAGGUGGGGUAACGGCUCACCUAGGCGACGAUCCCUAGCUGGUCUGAGAGGAUGACCAGCCACACUGGAACUGAGACACGGUCCAGACUCCUACGGGAGGCAGCAGUGGGGAAUAUUGCACAAUGGGCGCAAGCCUGAUGCAGCCAUGCCGCGUGUAUGAAGAAGGCCUUCGGGUUGUAAAGUACUUUCAGCGGGGAGGAAGGGAGUAAAGUUAAUACCUUUGCUCAUGGACGUUCCCGCAGAAGAAGCACCGGCUAACUCCGUG
RNAcentral lists this ribosomal RNA (489 nucleotides) under uncultured bacterium. Its description in RNAcentral is "partial 16S ribosomal RNA". It matches the Rfam family "Bacterial small subunit ribosomal RNA", at positions 30 to 507 of the family's 1533-position model. The record is from RNAcentral.